RNAcentral lists this long non-coding RNA (333 nucleotides) under Rosa chinensis. Its description in RNAcentral is "sRNA RchiOBHm_Chr1g0367901". The stretch from base 208 to 333 matches the Rfam family "mir-172 microRNA precursor family". The record is from RNAcentral. Lineage: Eukaryota; Viridiplantae; Streptophyta; Magnoliopsida; Rosales; Rosaceae.
GUAGUUCGACUCGUUCCUUCAGUAUAUAAGGUCGCCCUAAACCCUUACUAGCCCCCCACUUUGCUUUUUCUAUUCUUGGUAUAUAUCAUCAGAUCUAGGGUUAGAGAAUUAGGGUUUCCUCCAGUCCUCCGCAGCCCUCUAAUCCGAUUUGGAUGAGUCGAUGAACGACGAAGAUGAUCUGAUCUGAUCUGAAAGAAAAUCCAGUCAGUAUUUGCGGGUGGAGCAUCUUCAAGAUUCACAAUCUAUAAGGGGCGUCUUAGGCUUAACUUUGUUGAUAAAGCCAGCCCCUUAAGUUAGAUAUGGGAAUCUUGAUGAUGCUGCAGCGGCAAAUAA